This 26-nucleotide non-coding RNA is filed under the name Homo sapiens (human). Lineage: Eukaryota; Metazoa; Chordata; Mammalia; Primates; Hominidae. The record is from RNAcentral.
CACUGAGGAUCCCUUUCAGGAUGCUG